GCGAGGGAUGAUUUUUCAAAUUGUUUAAUCAUUUACUAUGUUAUAUGUAUGUAUGAUCAAUUGAAUAUAGAAAUUACUCAUCUUGAAAUAACUUUUUACUAAGCAGGUUUAUAUCUAUAAAAGGCCAGCAUUAACCAAAUCAAAUUUUAUAAUUUGUAAUUCCUUAAUAUUUAUUAAAAGCAAUAAAUGCACAAAACUUUGUAUGAAAAUAACAAGGCUACUGAUAUCAUUGAGAGAGAAGGAUUCUCUUAAAGGACUGUAUGUCCUCUAUUUUUAUGCUACGACUUAUGACCCAUUUAAAAGUUAAUUUAGGUCUAGAUUAGAUACCAGAAGACCCUUCUAAGUAAUUCAUACUUGAGAUCUGGGACCAUGUCUCAUUUGUCUUUGUGUCCUUGGCAUGUAACACAAGUACGUAG
Long non-coding RNA from Myotis brandtii (Brandt's bat), 416 nucleotides. RefSeq lists it as uncharacterized. NCBI's taxonomy places the organism in Eukaryota, Metazoa, Chordata, Mammalia, Chiroptera, Vespertilionidae. The transcript is spliced from 2 exons. The record is from RefSeq and is a predicted model, not a curated record.